AUUUAAAAUUUUAAUGUUAAAAAAUAAUUAAAAUGAAUUAAAAUUUUUAAAGUAUUAAUAAUAUUAGUAGGUUUUUGUUUUAGUUGUUAAAAUAAAUAAUAUAGUUAUAUUUAUAAGUAAUUAGUAUAUAAUUAGAAAAAUGAAAUAUAAUUAAAUAAUAAAAUUUUAAGUAAUAAGAAUUUGUAUUUUGUGUAUCAAAGAUUAUUUAAUUAAAAAUAUAAAUUAAUGUAUAUAUAAUUAUUAAUCUCAAAAAUUUUGGGUAUAAUUUUAUAUUAUUUUUAUUAUAAUAAAAAUAUAAUUAAUAUAAAAUUAGAAAUGAAAUGUUAUUCGAUUAAAUUAAUAUUUAGUUUAAAAAAAAAUAAAUUUAAUUUAGAUAAAUUAAAUAUUUAGUUAUUUAAUUAGUUAAAAAUUUUAAUUUAUUGAAUUUUUUAGGGAUAAGCUUAAAAAAUUAUUAAAUUUAUUUUUUAAAAAAUAAAUUUAUUUAAUUAGAAAUUUUAAUUAAUUAAUUUAUUUAAAUAUUAUUUAAUUUUAUAUUAAUUUAAGUAUUUUUAUUUAUUUUUUAAUUUAUAAAUUUAGUAAUAAUAAUAAUAUUAGUAUAAAAAUAUGUUAUAUUUAUAUUUGAUUUAUGUAAUUAUAAUUAAUAAAUAUGAAUUCGACAAAAUAUAUAUUUACCUGUUUAACAAAAACAUGUCUUUUUGUAAUUUAUUUUAAGUCUAAUCUGCUCUCUGAAAGAAUUUUUAAAGGCCGCAUUAAAAUGUGCAAAGGUAGCAUAAUAAAUAGUUUUUUAAUUAAAAACUAGAAUGAAUGAUUGAAUAAAAUAUAUAUUUUAUUUUUAUUAAAAUUAAAAUUUAAAUUUUUAGUGAAAAUGCUAAAUUAAGAAAAAAAGACGAAAAGACCCUAUAAAUUUUUAUUUUUAUAUAAAUAUUUAUAUUUUAUUUGUUUAAAAGUUUAAUUGGGGUGAUUAAAAAAUUUAAUUAACUUUUUAAUUAUUUAUUCAUUAAUUAAUGUAAAUUUUAUUUAAUUUAAAUUUUAAAAAAUAAAACAAAAUACUUUAGGGAUAACAGCAUAAUUUUAGUUUAAAGAUUUUAUUUAAAUUAAAGAUUGUGACCUCGAUGUUGGAUUAAAAUAAGUUUAAAAAGAGAAUUUUAAAUUUUGAGUCUGUUCGACUUUUUUAUUUUACAUGAUCUGAGUUCAAACCGGUGUGAGCCAGGUUGGUUUCUAUCUUUUAAAAAAAAUAAUUUAGUACGAAAGGAAUUGUUUAUUGUGAAUUAUUUAUAAAUUAUAGAUUAAAAUUAAUUUUA
This 1301-nucleotide ribosomal RNA is filed under the name Setodes brevicaudatus. RNAcentral's name for it is "16S ribosomal RNA". Lineage: Eukaryota; Metazoa; Arthropoda; Insecta; Trichoptera; Leptoceridae. The record is from RNAcentral.